RNAcentral lists this ribosomal RNA (626 nucleotides) under uncultured Actinomycetes bacterium. RNAcentral describes it as "bacterial SSU rRNA". It matches the Rfam family "Bacterial small subunit ribosomal RNA", at positions 9 to 648 of the family's 1533-position model. Lineage: Bacteria; Bacillati; Actinomycetota; Actinomycetes. The record is from RNAcentral.
GAGUUUGAUCAUGGCUCAGGAUGAACGCUGGCGGCGUGCUUAACACAUGCAAGUCGAACGAGGUCCAUGGAGCUUGCUCCGGAAGAUCUAGUGGCGAACGGGUGCGUAACACGUGAGAAACCUGCCCCGAUCUCUGGGAUAACAGUUGGAAACGACUGCUAAUACCGGAUGCCGUCGCACCGCUUCAUGGCGGAGUGCCGAAAGAUUUAUCGGAUUGGGAGGGACUCGCGGCCUAUCAGCUAGUUGGAGAGGUAACGGCUCACCAAGGCAUCGACGGGUAGCUGGUCUGAGAGGAUGAUCAGCCACACUGGGACUGAGACACGGCCCAGACUCCUACGGGAGGCAGCAGUGGGGAAUCUUGCACAAUGGGCGAAAGCCUGAUGCAGCAACGCCGCGUGCGGGAUGAAGGCCCUAGGGUUGUAAACCGCUUUCAGUAGGGAAGAAAAUGACGGUACCUACAGAAGAAGGUGCGGCCAACUACGUGCCAGCAGCCGCGGUGACACGUAGGCACCAAGCGUUAUCCGGAUUUAUUGGGCGUAAAGAGCUCGUAGGCGGUUCGGUAAGUCGCGUGUGAAAACUCUGGGCUCAACCCAGAGACGCCACGCGAUACUGCUGUGACUAGAGUG